Molecule: ribosomal RNA, 504 nt
Filed under: uncultured bacterium
Lineage: Bacteria
Description: bacterial SSU rRNA
Rfam family: Bacterial small subunit ribosomal RNA
Source: RNAcentral
GACGAACGCUGGCGGCGUGGAUUAGGCAUGCAAGUCGAACGGUAUCAUCCUUUCGGGGGUGAGAGAGUGGCGAACUGGUGAGUAACACGUAGGUUAUCUACCCUCAAGACGGGGACAACCCAGGGAAACUUGGGCUAAUACCGGAUGUGAGCAACUUUUAGUUGUUUGAAAGGUGGCGUAAGCUGUCGCUUGGGGAUGAGCCUGCGUCCUAUUAGUUAGUUGGUGAGGUAACGGCUCACCUAGGCAAUGAUAGGUAGGCGGCCUUAACGGGUGGUCGCCCACACUGGGAUUGAGAUACGGCCCAGACUCCUACGGGAGGCAGCAGUCGAGAAUAGUCUACAAUGGUCGGAAGACUGAUAGUGCGACGCCGCGUGAACGAUGAAUCCCUUCGGGGUGUAAAGUUCUUUUAUAUGUGAGCAGUGCUUCUUAUAUUAACAGUAUGGGGAGAGAGAUAUUAGCAUAUGAAUAAGCAACGGCUAACUCCGUGCCAGCGGCCGCGGUAAU